This 73-nucleotide transfer RNA is filed under the name Pedinomonas minor. RNAcentral's name for it is "tRNA-Thr". It matches the Rfam family "tRNA". Rfam says of the family: Transfer RNA (tRNA) molecules are approximately 80 nucleotides in length. The record is from RNAcentral. Lineage: Eukaryota; Viridiplantae; Chlorophyta; Pedinophyceae; Pedinomonadales; Pedinomonadaceae.
GCCUCCUUGGCACAGUCGGUAGCGCAUUUCCAUGGUAAGGAAAAGGUCGCCGGUUCAAGUCCGGCAGGAGGCU